RNAcentral lists this long non-coding RNA (1112 nucleotides) under Sitophilus oryzae (rice weevil). Its description in RNAcentral is "uncharacterized LOC115887805, transcript variant X2". The record is from RNAcentral. Lineage: Eukaryota; Metazoa; Arthropoda; Insecta; Coleoptera; Curculionidae.
CAAUUUUUUAGAAUCAUACAUGGUUUGACACUUUUAUGAGAGUUAAAAAGAGAUGGGUACAUAAAUAUGACAACACGGUUGAGUUUCGUCUGUCUUUCUGUCAUUUCGCUCCAUCAGUGGCGUGACGGUGGUGUGGUGUUUUUUAUCCAAAAUUAUAAAAAAAGUUAUUUUGUGUAUUUUAAUUUAAAUUUUAAUUUGUAAUAUACGUGGUAAUAUCGAUAAUAUACAAUGUAGGGGCGUUUGCACCAAGUUUUUUAAGCAAAACUUAACACUAUGUUUAGCUUAUUUUCCUGAACUAUGCUUUAAUCUAACUUGAAUUUAUAUUUAAAUUAAGCGGUCAAAUUUCCGGGCUAGUGGCCACUUAACCUGACUAAGGCACAAAAAAUUUGUUUUACGAGGAAGUAUAAUUAUUUUUAUUAUAAUCCUUUGAGAAAGCUAAAAAGUGUAUUAUGAUACCUCUACGUAAGUUCGAUGAUUACUUUUGAUAUCUUAGAGACGUCGAUCAGUAGGUAUAUUCAUUGAAAAUGGAUUUCCUCAAGAGUGGAUGUAAGGAAAAAUCAUAUUUCCAAGAAAUGAACCUCCUUAAGUCUUUAGGACAGAGGGACAGAGACUUUUAAAUGACACUGUAAUAUAUAUCCUCGGUUUAAUUGAACAAAAUCUAGAAUAUCAAAAUGAGAGUUUCAGAGCAGGAACAAUUUUAUAGUAUAUUUGGGUUUCCUUGGAUUAUAGGGAUAGUUGAUGGAACACAAUGUAAGAAAACAUUCACCUGGGGGUAAUGAUGGAGAGGUAUUUAGAAAUAGAAAAGCAUUAUUUUCUCCGACAUUUAAAUUACUGGAAAUGCUAGUCUUAAAACUAUAGACAAUAGACAUGAUUGCUUGUUGGCAUGGGUCUGUGCAUGAAGCCACCAUUUUUUGGAUAUUAAGGACGUAUUAAGGACCCGCUUGGAGACUGGUGACUAUUCAAAUUAAAUCCUGCUUGGUGAUAGUGCAUAUGUAUUGAGGGGAUAUAUGCAGAAAGAGAGCUGAAGAACUAUAUUGCUGAAGAAAUGUUUCAGAAUUAUCGGAAUAUGGAAACGCCACUUUCCAAUAUGUUUUAUGGUAUAAGACCAAAAU